This 497-nucleotide ribosomal RNA is filed under the name uncultured bacterium. RNAcentral's name for it is "partial 16S ribosomal RNA". It matches the Rfam family "Bacterial small subunit ribosomal RNA", at positions 28 to 507 of the family's 1533-position model. The record is from RNAcentral.
GAUGAACGCUGGCGGCGUGCCUAAUACAUGCAAGUCGAGCGAACGGACGAGAAGCUUGCUUCUCUGAUGUUAGCGGCGGACGGGUGAGUAACACGUGGAUAACCUACCUAUAAGACUGGGAUAACUUCGGGAAACCGGAGCUAAUACCGGAUAAUAUUUUGAACCGCAUGGUUCAAAAGUGAAAGACGGUCUUGCUGUCACUUAUAGAUGGAUCCGCGCUGCAUUAGCUAGUUGGUAAGGUAACGGCUUCCCAAGGCAACGAUGCAUAGCCGACCUGAGAGGGUGAUCGGCCACACUGGAAGUGAGGCGCGGUCCCGGCUCCUACGGCAGGCAGCAGAAGGGAAUCUUCCGCAAUGGGCGAAAGCCUGACGGAGCAACGCCGAGCGAGUGAUGAAGGUCUUCGGAUCGUAAAACUCUGUUAUUAGGGAAGAACAUAUGUGUAAGUAACUGUGCACAUCUUGACGGUACCUAAUCAGAAAGCCACGGCUAACUACGUG